This 660-nucleotide ribosomal RNA is filed under the name Sericata stussineri stussineri. RNAcentral's name for it is "partial 12S ribosomal RNA". The record is from RNAcentral. Lineage: Eukaryota; Metazoa; Mollusca; Gastropoda; Stylommatophora; Clausiliidae.
UCCACUUUAAUAUGAUGGAUCUAAGUAGGCAUAAAGUAUAUUAAAUAUGGAAUCUUAAUUGAUGAUUAACAUCCAGUUUAAAGUUUUAAAUAAUAUAUGAAAAUAUAAUUUAGAUAGUUUUUUAUUUUAGGUUAAUUAGGUGCCAGCAACCGCGGUCAUACCUAAUAAACCAGCCUACACCCAUAGUAAUAUAUUGUUCCCGUUUCGAAAUAUUAUAAUAAAUAGUGAAAUACUAUUAUUUUACUAUGUCUUCAAAACUAUUCUAGUAGUAAACCCAUAUCUAAAACUAGGAUUAGAGACCCUGCUAUUGUGGAUUUAAAAUUUAUUUACUAAGGAGUAAUUCCUCAAUUUAAAACUUAAAUGUUAUGGCGGCUAAACAAAAUAAUUAGGGGAACUUACCAUAUAAUUGAUAGCCACCAAGCAUAAACUCACUUACUAUAAAAAUUUGUAUACCGUUGUCUUCAUGAAUCCCUCAAAGGGGCUCAUGACCAUUCAUAAAAAUUUAAAGACAAAUCAAGGUGCAGUCUAUUGGUAAGAAAUAAGGUGAGUUACAAUAAACUUUUUUUUCGGAGAUGAAGUAUGGAAUAUCACACGAAGAUGGACUUAAAAGUAUUUUAUAAAUUAACAAACAUGUUAUAAGAAUAUAUAUUGUUUAGUGCA